CGCCUUUUUGCUAUGCGCCGAACUCCACGAUUCGAACCUGCAGCAGGUUCGGGUCGAACGCAGUGAGACAACGGAGCCGCUUGCGGCGACGGCCCGAAGGGCGAGGCGAAGCCGAGUCAUCCUGCACGACCCACCA
RNAcentral lists this small RNA (136 nucleotides) under Klebsiella variicola. Its description in RNAcentral is "RtT sRNA". It matches the Rfam family "RtT RNA". From Rfam's summary of the family: This family represents a bacterial cis-regulatory element known as RtT RNA. Lineage: Bacteria; Pseudomonadati; Pseudomonadota; Gammaproteobacteria; Enterobacterales; Enterobacteriaceae. The record is from RNAcentral.